CCCGGUGACGAUAGCGAUCCGGACAUACCUGAUUUGCCCCGCUUUGCGGGGCUCCAUUCCGAACUCAGAAGUUAAACGGAUCAGCGGGAACGAUAGUAUGGGGGCAACUCCAUGCGAAAAUACCACAUUGCCGGGG
This 136-nucleotide ribosomal RNA is filed under the name Candidatus Woesebacteria bacterium RIFCSPLOWO2_01_FULL_39_10b. Lineage: Bacteria; Candidatus Woeseibacteriota. The record is from RNAcentral.